This 753-nucleotide ribosomal RNA is filed under the name uncultured Sebacina. Its description in RNAcentral is "partial 28S ribosomal RNA". It matches the Rfam family "Eukaryotic large subunit ribosomal RNA", at positions 219 to 962 of the family's 3401-position model. Lineage: Eukaryota; Fungi; Basidiomycota; Agaricomycetes; Sebacinales; Sebacinaceae. The record is from RNAcentral.
UCCCGUAUAUGGCAUGGACUACCGUUACUCUGUGAUACACUCUCGACGAGUCGAGUUGUUUGGGAAUGCAGCUCCAAAUGGGUGGUAAAUGCCAUCUAAAGCUAAAUAUUGGCGAGAGACCGAUAGCGAACAAGUACCGUGAGGGAAAGAUGAAAAGCACUUUGGAAAGAGAGUGAAACAGUACGUGAAAUUGUUGAAAGGGAAACGCUUGAAGUCAGUCGCGCCGUUCGGGAUUCAGCCUUGCUUCUGCUCGGUUUACUUCCCGUUGGGUGGGUCAACAUCAGUUUUGGUCGGAGGAGAAAGGCUUGGGGAAGGUGGCAGCAUUCGUGCUGUGUUAUAGCCCCUUGUUGUAUACUUCGACUGGGACUGAGGACCGCAGCACGCCUUUGGCCGGGGUUCGCCCACGUACGUGCUUAGGAUGUUGGCAUAAUGGCUUUAAGCGACCCGUCUUGAAACACGGACCAAGGAGUCUAACAUGUGCGCGAGUGUUUGAGUGUUAAACUCAGACGCGAAAUGAAAGUGAAAAGUUGGGAACACUCAUGUGUGCACCGACGCCCGGAGCUGACCUUCUGUGACGCAUCUGCGGUAGAGCGUAUAUGUUGGGACCCGAAAGAUGGUGAACUAUGCCUGAAUAGGGUGAAGCCAGAGGAAACUCUGGUGGAGGCUCGUAGCGAUUCUGACGUGCAAAUCGAUCGUCAAAUUUGGGUAUAGGGGCGAAAGACUAAUCGAACCAUCUAGUAGCUGGUUCCUGCC